CUUGUCAGAGCAUAGGGGUCGCUGCAACCCAGAAGCGGAUGGAUGAUAGUGAGGGGUUCUUUCAGGAUUCCGAAAGCAGCAUCCGAUGACAAAUUUACAUCAAAUUCUUCAUGCUUAAUUUCUUCCGGGCAGCUUUCUGGGCUACUGCUUAUUUCUCGACGAUAUCCUUCCUCGACAUCUCCUUCCUCUUCCAGUUCUUCAGGUUUUCCUACCAUUUGAAGAUUCCAGAAGAUUAAGAAAUGUGACACAAUCAUACUGAGAGAGAUACUGCAGCAAAGUUCGUAAUAUCUUCAAAUCCUGAACUAAGGAUUUAGUCUUGGCUCCAAGCUGGUGCCACAAAGGAUCCAGAUAAUGGCGGAUUGUCUAAAACAAGAAUAAAAUUUGGUAUUGCUAAAA
Molecule: long non-coding RNA, 396 nt
Organism: Homo sapiens (human)
Lineage: Eukaryota; Metazoa; Chordata; Mammalia; Primates; Hominidae
Source: Ensembl